GAUGAACGCUGGCGGCGUGCCUAAUACAUGCAAGUCGAGCGAACAGACGAGGAGCUUGCUCCUCUGACGUUAGCGGCGGACGGGUGAGUAACACGUGGAUAACCUACCUAUAAGACUGGGAUAACUUCGGGAAACCGGAGCUAAUACCGGAUAAUAUAUUGAACCGCAUGGUUCAAUAGUGAAAGACGGUUUUGCUGUCACUUAUAGAUGGAUCCGCGCCGCAUUAGCUAGUUGGUAAGGUAACGGCUUACCAAGGCAACGAUGCGUAGCCGACCUGAGAGGGUGAUCGGCCACACUGGAACUGAGACACGGUCCAGACUCCGACGGGAGGCAGCAGUAGGGAAUCUUCCGCAAUGGGCGAAAGCGUGACGGAGCAACGCCGCGUGAGUGAUGAAGGUCUUCGGAUCGUAAAACUCUGUUAUUAGGGAAGAACAAAUGUGUAAGUAACUAUGCACGUAUUGACGGUACCUAAUCAGAAAGCCACGGCUAACUACGUG
This 497-nucleotide ribosomal RNA is filed under the name uncultured bacterium. RNAcentral describes it as "partial 16S ribosomal RNA". It matches the Rfam family "Bacterial small subunit ribosomal RNA", at positions 28 to 507 of the family's 1533-position model. The record is from RNAcentral.